AACGCACCUUGCACCAUAUGAGCAAUUGUAUGGUAUACCUGUUUGAGAAUCGUAAACCUCCUCACUUACUUGUAAGUGGAAUUGUCGGCUUAUUGUAUAACCGAUUAAAUGCAUUAGGUUUGGAUCAGGCUGGUGGCCCGAGACACUGUGUGCUAGAGACUAGUCUUAACCGGCUCCGUCUUCUCAUGGUGCGUCUUGGGUCAUUCAAAGCUAGCCUGCAAAGGACCUUAACUGCGCAAAGAAUUAAUCUUCUUUGGCAACCUUUCUCAUUGAUCUCAAAUCAGGUAAGGCUACCCGCUGAACUUAA
Molecule: unclassified non-coding RNA, 307 nt
Filed under: uncultured fungus
Lineage: Eukaryota; Fungi
Description: partial contains 5.8S ribosomal RNA, internal transcribed spacer 2, and large subunit ribosomal RNA
Source: RNAcentral